GUGACCAGGAUUUUAUGUACCAAAAAAUACAGGCUAAUACAGGCUAAUUGCUGCUUUGCACUAUGCUUCACUUUCUUUCAGUUUGCCUCUUCUCUCUUCCACUCCUUUAAAGUAUAAACAUCUUCAGUAUAUGGAUGUAAUGUCAGUCGGCACUUCAUUUCAAAGCACAAAAAUGUGUAAAGCUGGUUUAAAUKUUUACAUCAGCUGUGAAUUUUACACAAUGCAUUUCAGCAGACCUGGAGAAAGGACCCAGAAGCCUUUGCCAUCUAUGCAGACCCACUAGGACAAGUCACAGCUCCUCCUGUGCCGAACUGUCCACACAUCAGAAGAGCUAAGGAGAUUUGAAGUAAAAAUGGAAGUAGAAUCAUGGUUGCUCUCUAAGAAAAUAGACCAGACACUGGAAGGGAUUUGCAAGUUGAGAUAGGAUCAUAAAGGUAAUAUUCUUCUAUAGAUGACUGCAGAAUUUUGAACUGGAGGCUUGUUUCAAUAUGAAACAAACUUCCAAAUAAAUACUAUAUUGAAAUA
Molecule: long non-coding RNA, 525 nt
Filed under: Dromaius novaehollandiae (emu)
Lineage: Eukaryota; Metazoa; Chordata; Aves; Casuariiformes; Dromaiidae
Description: lncRNA (ENSDNVG00000004505.1)
Source: RNAcentral